Molecule: long non-coding RNA, 226 nt
Filed under: Mytilus galloprovincialis (Mediterranean mussel)
Lineage: Eukaryota; Metazoa; Mollusca; Bivalvia; Mytilida; Mytilidae
Source: RNAcentral
GAGGGAUUUACUUGAUGUUGGGUUCAUUUGAAAGGGUGAAAAAAUGCCGAACAAUGUAUAUUGCUAUCUCAGACUUGCAUUACUGGUGGUAAUUUUUACAACCUUUGAAAACCAAUUUUUAAAGGCAUUUUUCAGUACAACCUUUUAAAUUGGCAAAUAAUCUAUUAUAUUACAGAAUGAAUAUAUAUAGAAGUUUAUUCUCUUGAAAACCAUCUAAUUGUCUACG